UACGUAGGUGGCGAGCGUUGUCCGGAUUUACUGGGCGUAAAGAGCGCGCAGGCGGUCGUUCAAGUCGCGUGUGAAAGCCCCCGGCUCAACUGGGGAGGGUCACGCGAUACUGAUCGACUCGAAGGCAGGAGAGGGUAGUGGAAUUCCCGGUGUAGUGGUGAAAUGCGUAGAUAUCGGGAGGAACACCAGUGGCGAAGGCGACUUCCUGGCCUGUUCUUGACGCUGAGGCGCGAAAGCUAGGGGAGCAAACGGG
This 253-nucleotide ribosomal RNA is filed under the name uncultured bacterium. RNAcentral describes it as "partial 16S ribosomal RNA". It matches the Rfam family "Bacterial small subunit ribosomal RNA", at positions 524 to 776 of the family's 1533-position model. The record is from RNAcentral.